This 127-nucleotide small RNA is filed under the name Marmota monax (woodchuck). Lineage: Eukaryota; Metazoa; Chordata; Mammalia; Rodentia; Sciuridae. The record is from RNAcentral.
GCCGGGUGCAGUGGCACACGCCUGUAAUCCCAGCAACUUGGGAGACUGAGGCAGGAGGAUUGCAAGUUCAAAGCCAGCCUCAGCAGAUUAGUGAGGCACUUAGCAACUCAGUGAGACCCUGCCUCUA